CAUUCUCUGGUCUCUGGAGGCUGCAGGGAUUAAGGGAAUCUGAGGGUCGGAGUUGGAGUGACUCGUAAGCCCACUCUUGCAACCAGACACCAAUGAGCGAUGAAUGGUCUCCAACUCCAAUUCCACUUCACAAGCCCCUUGUUUUUACCGUUUGGAUUUAGGUUUCGGUAUACUCAUUCCCGAGUUAUAUCAUUCCUUCUCACUGUCACGUCACCGUCAUUAAUUAUAAUCCCUUACCACUUCUACUUUCUCUCCUCUAUAAAUAAGGUUCGACCUUUUAAAUAUUUUAUUAAUAUUAAUUCUUUCUUGCUCUGUUUCUUCUCUGCGAGACUGCGAUUAGUGAGAGGGUUUGGUCGAAGCUGGUGGUGUUGAUUUGAGGGAGAAAGAUAUAAAGAGGAAAGGAAAGAUGUUGGAGUUGGUCAUGUUGGGAUGUGCCGGUUUCGUUGUAUUCGCCCACGGUCUCAAUUUCUUCUUCCAAGCUAUCUUAAAGCUUAAGAACUUUAGAUCUCUCAGUUUCUUGGGAUUUGCUGCAUAGUCAAAAUUGUAGAGAUACUCAUGAUGAUGACGACGGCUUAAAAUUGAGAGAUGUGUUUUACCAAAAACAAAGAAUUGAGAGAUGUGAUUACCUUUUUUUUUUUUUCUUAGUUUGAAACUUGUUGAUGGAAAACUGAAGUGUGGGUAAUAGAAAGGCCACUGUGAUAUCA
Macadamia integrifolia is the source of this 704-nucleotide long non-coding RNA. RefSeq lists it as uncharacterized. NCBI's taxonomy places the organism in Eukaryota, Viridiplantae, Streptophyta, Magnoliopsida, Proteales, Proteaceae. The record is from RefSeq and is a predicted model, not a curated record. The transcript has 2 exons.